AACGAACGCUGGCGGCGGGCCUCAUACAUGCAAGUCGAGCGCGAAAGUCCGCAAGGAUGAGUAAAGCGGCGCACGGGUGAGUAACACGUGGAUAAUCUACCCUUUGGAUUGGAAUAACCUGUCGAAAGACGGGCUAAUGCCGAGUAAGCCCUCGGGAGCGUGAAGCUUCUGCGGGGAAAGAUGGCGCAAGCUAUCGCCGAUGGAUGAGUCUGCGUCCCAUUAGUUAGUUGGUGAGGUAAUGGCUUACCAAGACAAUGAUGGGUACCUGGUCUGAGAGGAUGAUCAGGCACACUGGAACUGAAACACGGUCCAGACUCCUACGGGAGGCUG
RNAcentral lists this ribosomal RNA (330 nucleotides) under uncultured Pseudomonadota bacterium. Its description in RNAcentral is "bacterial SSU rRNA". It matches the Rfam family "Bacterial small subunit ribosomal RNA", at positions 29 to 351 of the family's 1533-position model. The record is from RNAcentral. Lineage: Bacteria; Pseudomonadati; Pseudomonadota.